RNAcentral lists this ribosomal RNA (457 nucleotides) under uncultured Streptococcus sp. RNAcentral's name for it is "bacterial SSU rRNA". It matches the Rfam family "Bacterial small subunit ribosomal RNA", at positions 923 to 1382 of the family's 1533-position model. The record is from RNAcentral. Lineage: Bacteria; Bacillati; Bacillota; Bacilli; Lactobacillales; Streptococcaceae.
GCACAAGCGGUGGAGCAUGUGGUUAAUUCGAAGCAACGCGAAGAACCUUACCAGGUCUUGACAUCCCGAUGCUAUUUCUAGAGAUAGAAAGUUACUUCGGUACAUCGGUGACAGGUGGUGCAUGGUUGUCGUCAGCUCGUGUCGUGAGAUGUUGGGUUAAGUCCCGCAACGAGCGCAACCCCUAUUGUUAGUUGCCAUCAUUCAGUUGGGCACCCUAGCGAGACUGCCGGUAAUAAACCGGAGGAAGGUGGGGAUGACGUCAAAUCAUCAUGCCCCUUAUGACCUGGGCUACACACGUGCUACAAUGGUUGGUACAACGAGUUGCGAGUCGGUGACGGCGAGCUAAUCUCUUAAAGCCAAUCUCAGUUCGGAUUGUAGGCUGCAACUCGCCUACAUGAAGUCGGAAUCGCUAGUAAUCGCGGAUCAGCACGCCGCGGUGAAUACGUUCCCGGGCCUU